This 237-nucleotide ribosomal RNA is filed under the name uncultured bacterium. RNAcentral describes it as "partial 16S ribosomal RNA". It matches the Rfam family "Bacterial small subunit ribosomal RNA", at positions 337 to 566 of the family's 1533-position model. The record is from RNAcentral.
CCCUACGGGGCGCAGCAGUAGGGAAUCUUCCACAAUGGGCGAAAGCCUGAUGGAGCAACGCCGCGGGGAUGAAGAAGGUCUUCGGAUCGUAAAACCCUUUUGUUAGAGAAGAAAGUGCGUGAGAGUAACUGUUCACGUUUCGACGGUAACUAACCAGAAAGCCACGGCUAACUACGUGCCAGGAGGCGCGGGAAUACGAAGGGGGGAAGGGGUAUCCGGGAUUAUUGGGCGUAAAGG